Long non-coding RNA from Prionailurus viverrinus (fishing cat), 626 nucleotides. RefSeq lists it as uncharacterized. Lineage: Eukaryota; Metazoa; Chordata; Mammalia; Carnivora; Felidae. The transcript is spliced from 3 exons. The record is from RefSeq and is a predicted model, not a curated record.
CUCGACGGAAAAAACAGCUGGUUGAAGCCCAGAGGAAAUUCCAGAAUCUUAAAAGCCGUUGCUGGAGAGGCUUCAGGCUCGAGGGGACUGCCGCCCUCACGUUACAGGAAAAAGAAAGUAACUCAGCGCCCCGAGAGCUUAAGCCUCACCCGGCAGACGCGGAGCCAGAUCCCAGGGCCAGGGAGCAACGUCCUCAUCCGCAAGGCGCGUGGAUCCUCCAGGCGACCAUGGACUUGGAAGGCGCCCUCUGGUCCUGCAGAGAAGAGGCAGGGCAGAGGCCCCACCUGAGCUCCUGAGCCAGGGCGGCCAGACACACGGGAUUGGACACCGGCCUUCUUCCUCUGACAUCAUGUUUGGGCCUCAGUUGCCUCUUCUGGAAACGAGUUCUCAGAUCCUUGGCAGCCCACGGUUGGCUCACAGACAGCGGCGCAGGCGCUGAGGGUUGGACGCUCGGCAGAAGCCAAACCACCUGGGGCAAGAGGCUGGCCAAGUGCCUCAGACGAGAGGCACACAGACUGUUUCCUUCCAGAGAGACCCAGCCCAGACCAGAGCCAGCUCCCGGGGAGCGGAAGCCACGGAGAAGCCAGCCGGCCCCUGGAGCUUCGAGGACCCUCCCUUUCCUCAAG